Molecule: long non-coding RNA, 551 nt
Filed under: Mus musculus (house mouse)
Lineage: Eukaryota; Metazoa; Chordata; Mammalia; Rodentia; Muridae
Description: long non-coding RNA chr9:117059157-117059708
Source: RNAcentral
UUCAAGAGUGUCCUGGUGUGAACUGUGAGUUGGAAAUUGAUGAUUGUGGAUCCCAGCCGUGUCUGUGUGGUACCACGUGACAGGAUGCUCUUGGGGCUUAUUUCUGUGACUGUGCUCCAGGAUUCCUUGGAGAGCACCGUGAACUCAACUUGAUGAAUGUGCCAAUCAGCCAUGUCUCCAUGGAGAUCUACGUGUGGAUGGAAGAAACAAACUACCACUGUGACUGCACAGGUAGUGGAUCUACAGGAACAUACUGUGAGACCUUGGUGCCUCUUUGUCGGUCAAAGCCUUGCCACAAAGAUACAACAUGUGAAGACACUGUUGACAGCUAUAUUUGUCACUGCUGGCCUGGAUCCUCGGUACCUUGUGUGAGAUGGACAUAAGUGAGUGCUGUAGCAACCUCUGACAAUUGUGUGUGUGUUGGUGGGGGGGGGGGGCUGUGUGCCAAGCUGUCCUCAGAAGACCCAUAUGGACACACUGCUGGCCUGCCUUCCUCCUUCAACUACCUUGGAACCUCAAGGUAUGCUUGUAUCUGUCAGCCGGGGUUCACA